GACGAACGCUGGCGGCGUGCCUAAUACAUGCAAGUCGGACGCAGUUGCGAGCGGGUGAGUAACGCGUAGGUAACUGCCUAUUAGAGGGGGAUAACUAUUGGAAACGAUAGCACAUACCGCAUACUAGUAGAUGGACCUGCGUUGUAUUAGCUAGUAGGUAGGGUAAUGGGCUACCUAGGCGACGAUACAUAGCCGACCGGGGAGGGUGAGCGGCGACGCUGAGACUGAGACACGGCCCAGACUCAAACGGGAGGGAGCAGUAGGGGUUAUUAGGAAAUGGGGGGAACCCUUAGCAUGCAACGGCGCGGUAGUGAAGAAGGUGUUCGGAUCGUAAAGCUUUGUUGGUAAUGAAGCGGUACUUAAUCAGAAAGGGACGGCUAACUACGUGCCAGCAGCCGCGGUAAUUC
RNAcentral lists this ribosomal RNA (407 nucleotides) under uncultured bacterium. Its description in RNAcentral is "partial 16S ribosomal RNA". It matches the Rfam family "Bacterial small subunit ribosomal RNA", at positions 28 to 526 of the family's 1533-position model. The record is from RNAcentral.